AAGUCUGGUGCCAGCAGCCGCGGUAAUUCCAGCUCCAAUAGCGUAUAUUAAACUUGUUGCAGUUAAAAAGCUCGUAGUUGAAUUUCUGCUGCAUCUUUGUUUUCCCUUCUCGGGUUUUCAUCGUUGCGGCUUUUUCUGGUUUUAUUGCUUUUGCUUUAUUUCCAGAUUGUUACUUUGAGAAAAUUAGAGUGCUUCAAGCAGGCUUUUGCCUUGAAUACUUUAGCAUGGAAUAACUAAGUAGGACUUUGGUUCUAUUUUGUUGGUUUAAGAGCCAAAGUAAUGAUUAAUAGGAACAGUUGGGGGCAUUCGUAUUUAACUGUCAGAGGUGAAAUUCUUAGAUUUGUUAAAGACGAACUACUGCGAAAGCAUUUGCCAAGGAUGUUUUCAUUAAUCAAGAACGAAAGUUAGGGGAUCGAAGACGAUCAGAUACCGUCGUAGUCCUA
RNAcentral lists this ribosomal RNA (443 nucleotides) under Cytauxzoon sp. RNAcentral's name for it is "SSU rRNA". It matches the Rfam family "Eukaryotic small subunit ribosomal RNA", at positions 557 to 1028 of the family's 1831-position model. Lineage: Eukaryota; Apicomplexa; Aconoidasida; Piroplasmida; Theileriidae. The record is from RNAcentral.